AACGAACGCUGGCGGCAUGCCUAACACAUGCAAGUCGAACGAGACCUUCGGGUCUAGUGGCGCACGGGUGCGUAACACGUGGGAAUUUGCCUCGGGGUAUGGAAUAACUCAGGGAAACUUGAGCUAAUACCAUAUACGACCUUACGGUGAAAGCGGGGGAUCGCAAGACCUCGCGCGGAUGGAUAAGCCGAUGUCGGAUUAGCUAGUUGGCGGGGUAAAGGCCCACCAAGGCGACGAUCCGUAGCUGGUCUGAGAGGAUGAUCAGCCACACUGGGACUGAGACACGGCCCAGACUCCUACGGGAGGCAGCAGUGGGGGAAUAAUU
This 325-nucleotide ribosomal RNA is filed under the name uncultured bacterium. RNAcentral describes it as "bacterial SSU rRNA". It matches the Rfam family "Bacterial small subunit ribosomal RNA", at positions 29 to 366 of the family's 1533-position model. The record is from RNAcentral.